UGGGCUUAAAUGCUUAAUGACGUACUGGGAAACUGGUAUUUCUUCGGACAUUUUGCAAGGUGCUGCAUGGUUGUCGUCAGCUCGCGCCGUGAGGUGUCGGGUUAAGUCCCAUAACGAGCGCAACCCCUAUUGUUAGUUGCCAUCAGGUCAUGCUGGGGACUCUAACAAAACUGCCCGCGUAAGCGGUGGAGGAAGGUGGGGAUGACGUCAAAUCAGCACGGCCCUUACGUCCAGGGCUACACACGUGCUACAAUGGCCGGUACAGAGGGCAGCCACUUGGUGACAAGGAGCAAAUCUCAAAAGCCGGUCUCAGUUCGGAUCGGAGUCUGCAACUCGACUCCGUGAAGUUGGAUUCGCUAGUAAUCGUAGAUCAGCAAUGCUACGGUGAAUACGUUCCCGGGCCUU
Molecule: ribosomal RNA, 405 nt
Filed under: uncultured Bacteroidota bacterium
Lineage: Bacteria; Pseudomonadati; Bacteroidota
Description: bacterial SSU rRNA
Rfam family: Bacterial small subunit ribosomal RNA
Source: RNAcentral